UGGAUAAGGCGUCUGACUUCUAAUCAGAAGAUUGUCGGUUCGAUCCCGGCCGUGGGCU
Non-coding RNA from Ancylostoma duodenale, 58 nucleotides. The record is from Rfam. NCBI's taxonomy places the organism in Eukaryota, Metazoa, Nematoda, Chromadorea, Rhabditida, Ancylostomatidae.